UGCAAAGUGGCAAGGUCUCCUCUAAG
Molecule: non-coding RNA, 26 nt
Filed under: Mus musculus (house mouse)
Lineage: Eukaryota; Metazoa; Chordata; Mammalia; Rodentia; Muridae
Source: RNAcentral